UGGCUGCUCAGCGCUGGAGCAGCGAGUGGCAACUGCGCAGAUCUGGAGUGGCAAGCCGUGGAAAGGAGAUACCCCACAGCCAAGCUCAGUGGCGGCGGCCGUGAGGAGAUACUCCAUGUUCAAGGAAGAGACACCAGAGAUCUCUACCCUCGUGUGCACAGAGAAAAGGCCAAGAAGUUGCAUCUGCAAGCUGAGGAGAGAGGUCUCACCAGAAGCCUAACUGGCAGCACCCUGAUCCUGGACUUCCAGCCUCCAGAACUAUGAGAAGAUAAACUUCUACUGUUUAAGCUACUAGUCUGUGAUACCUCUGCUUAGGUAGCCUAAGCAGACAAAUCAAUUCCCCAGAACGAUUGAUGACUGAGGGGUUCAUACGGACUUGGAGUUUAAUUCUAGCAUUUACUGAUUCAAUUACUCUGCCAAUAUUUAAGUCCUGCUAUGAGUUAGACACUGUCAGACACUGGGUUUCAAUGUUUUUAUCUCUCCUUCUAUGUGAGGGGUGUGAUGGCGCAGCGGUCACACGCGUGUGAACUCUGGAAUCGGCCGGAUUUGAGUGGGCACCAUACCUUCUCCUCUCGGCUCACUGUGAGAGCCGCGAAGCCCUCUGAGCCUCAGUUUACUCAUCUGUAAACUGAGGACGAUCAGAGCUUGGUUGUGAAGAUUAAACUGACGUAGUGACAAAAUGCUUAGACCCACAAUGGAUGCAGGUUAUUAUUACUUUUAGUAACAACCCA
Molecule: long non-coding RNA, 731 nt
Organism: Cervus elaphus (red deer)
Lineage: Eukaryota; Metazoa; Chordata; Mammalia; Artiodactyla; Cervidae
Exons: 3
Source: RefSeq, a predicted model, not a curated record